GUAGUAUUCUUCCAUGACCUCUGCUUCUGUUCCUUCCUUUAGUUUCCUGCCUUGAAUUUCUGCCCUGACUUCCCUCAGUGAUGGACUGGGACAUGUACUGCCACCACUGCUGACUCCUGUUUGCUAUCCUGACACUACCAAACUUGAGUGCUGGUGUAUCCAUGAAGUGUUUGUGAGUGGAUCGAGCUGCCACUGUUGACCUGUGAACCGAACUGCUGAUUUCCUGACAACAUGGAUGGGAGUUGCUCCAAAGAACUAUUUCUAAACAGGUCCACUUCCCCCAAAUCCUUUCUUUCCCACUAUCCUUGGUGGGUGGUGGUCUAGAAGGGAGGUUAAAGCAUUUAAGAACCAUCAUUAAACGUAGACUUUGAAAAACUGAAAGUUAUACCAGCAACUAUUGGCUGUAUAUAAAUCUGAGAGGAGCAAGGCCCCAGAAGGUUGUCCACCCUGCUCUCACAGGUAAUGAUGGCUCUGUCCAGUUUAGGAGUGCAAUGGCCAACGGUCACAUCACAGUCAGAGCCCAUGUUCCAUACCAUGAAUUUAUUCUUUAGUAAGGAACCUGCUCAAAUGAUAAUGGUAUUGGCUCAUUCAUAAGGCAGACAGCGCUUGUGGGCAAGUCACUUCUUCAAGGCCCUAGUUCUUUACUGUGUUGCAUGGGUGAUUAAAUGUCAACCUGAAUUUGGGAAUGUACAAGCAUUCAAACCAUGGCGGUGACAGUUGCUGUCUAUGCUCAGGCAAGCCCUUGAAGGUUUUUCUGCCUUGGAAUGUCUUCCUACUGCAUCCUCUCUCCUGUUGAUGUUCCUCAAAGCAGCUGUCAGCAAGAGCAGGUAACAUCAGUAAUUGUGAAGAGGAAGCCAAAUACACCCAACAAGUGCGUGCUGGGACACCGUGCUACCUGUUCCUUCUGCCUUCUUGAAUUUCUUAUAACAGGUAGGGAAUGAGAGCAGAUCUCUGUGGAGUU
RNAcentral lists this long non-coding RNA (961 nucleotides) under Mus musculus (house mouse). RNAcentral's name for it is "expressed sequence AU023762". Lineage: Eukaryota; Metazoa; Chordata; Mammalia; Rodentia; Muridae. The record is from RNAcentral.